Molecule: transfer RNA, 61 nt
Filed under: Podarcis lilfordi (Lilford's wall lizard)
Lineage: Eukaryota; Metazoa; Chordata; Lepidosauria; Squamata; Lacertidae
Description: tRNA.Leu
Source: RNAcentral
GCCAUAGCUCAGUGGUAGAACAUUGCUUUGCAUGUCCCAGGUUCAAUCCCUGGUAUCUCUA